CAAUUUAUUGAAUUAGGUUGUGACAAUUUAUUGAAUUAGGUUAAUUACAAUUAACGCUAGUGUUACUCAUGAUUGCAAAGUUGUAUUUUUUGGCCCGAUUUUGUCCUAGGAAUGAUAUGAGAAGUUUGAAAUAUGGUGCUUUACUUAAGAUUUUAUAUGCCUUCUUGUGAAUUCAUGCAUACUUAUUCAUGUCUCACAUCUUCUCAUUGGGUGCUCAGAACGCAUUUUGGUAAUUGCAUGCAAUAACAUUGAGGGGUGAAUGGUGAUGGCCUCCUUAAAUGGAAGAAAUGAAUGAAUGGAUUAGGAGAAGCUACAGUGAGAGUGGAGUGCAUUUGAAAUUCCUAUCACACUCAUUUAGAUGCAUUGUUUUCCACUCUAUUUAAAUUUCCUUUAUCCUUCAAAUUAAAUUGAAAGUAGUUUUGAAUUUUGAUGAUAGAGCCUUAG
Molecule: long non-coding RNA, 444 nt
Filed under: Citrus x clementina
Lineage: Eukaryota; Viridiplantae; Streptophyta; Magnoliopsida; Sapindales; Rutaceae
Description: Citrus clementina (C. clementina) long non-coding RNA (CCLE_LNC001804)
Source: RNAcentral